This 253-nucleotide ribosomal RNA is filed under the name uncultured bacterium. RNAcentral's name for it is "partial 16S ribosomal RNA". It matches the Rfam family "Bacterial small subunit ribosomal RNA", at positions 524 to 776 of the family's 1533-position model. The record is from RNAcentral.
UACGUAGGGGGCAAGCGUUGUCCGGAUUUACUGGGCGUAAAGCGCCUGUAGGCGGCCUGUCAAGUCCGGCCUGAAAGCCCCCGGCUCAACCGGGGAGGGUGGCUGGAAACUGGCAGGCUAGAGUGCGGGAGAGGAGAGUGGAAUUCCUGGUGUAGCGGUGAAAUGCGCAGAUAUCAGGAAGAACACCCGUGGCGAAGGCGGCUCUCUGGAACGCAACUGACGCUGAGACGCGAAAGCGUGGGGAGCAAACAGG